This 253-nucleotide ribosomal RNA is filed under the name uncultured bacterium. RNAcentral's name for it is "partial 16S ribosomal RNA". It matches the Rfam family "Bacterial small subunit ribosomal RNA", at positions 524 to 776 of the family's 1533-position model. The record is from RNAcentral.
UACGAAGGGGGCUAGCGUUGCUCGGAAUCACUGGGCGUAAAGCGCACGUAGGCGGCUUUUUAAGUCAGGGGUGAAAUCCUGGAGCUCAACUCCAGAACUGCCUUUGAUACUGGAAAGCUCGAGUCCGGAAGAGGUGAGUGGAACUGCGAGUGUAGAGGUGAAAUUCGUAGAUAUGACUUAGAACACCAAUUGCGCAGGCAGCUUACUAAGCAAUGAUUGACGCUGAGGCACGAAAGCGUGGGGAUCAAACAGG